This 218-nucleotide long non-coding RNA is filed under the name Elaeis guineensis (African oil palm). Its description in RNAcentral is "long non-coding RNA (EGUI_LNC001744)". The record is from RNAcentral. Lineage: Eukaryota; Viridiplantae; Streptophyta; Magnoliopsida; Arecales; Arecaceae.
UCCCAUAGGUUCUCUCUCUAGAUGUCUUUUGGACUAGUAGAUGAUCUGAAUACUUAAGCAAAUCUAGAUAGAUUGGUUGGCCCUAGGAGGGGUCCCAGACCUUAUUAUAUAAUUAGGAUCCUGGGCUAAUAUCAUGCAACCACCUACGUAAGUUUCUAUAAUUUUUUAUAAGGAUCCUAAAUAUUUACAAUUGAUUUGAUGGCUGGAUUGGUUCUAUA